GACGUCAUCGGGGCGCGCCGGGCGCUCUCCGAAGCCGCGGCGGCGGAUGAAUGGCGGGGGCGCUGGCGCCGCGAGACGCCUCGCUCUCCCGCGGGCCGGUCGGCUCCCUGCCGCGCCCCGGAGCCCCUUUUCCUCAGCCUCCCCUUUGGUCUCGUCCCCCGCGGCUGACUGUCGGAAGGGGGGAGCCGGCUUCCCGUCUGCGCCGCCUUCCGGUCGCCUCCGCGGCCGCCCGGGUCCCGAUCGAGAGCCAGAUUUUUAUAUGCCGGCGCUCAAAAGAGGGGUGCAGGAAGGAGAUGCUGCAGGUGAUUUGUGACCAGGGCCGCGGCAGUUUCCGUAUUCAGCGUAGACACCCUCUGGAUCACAGCUGCCCACGCGGGAACCUUGCUGUCAGUGUAGCCGGAGAGAGACAGAGCGUGAGCGUGGGAGGGGCAGAGAGAGAGAGGGAGACACAGAAUCUGAAGCAGGCUCCAGGAUCCGAGCUGUCAUCACACAGCCCGACAUGGGGCUCGAACUCACGGACCGCGAGAUCAUGACCUGAGCCGAAGUCGGACGCUCCACCGACGGAGCCACCCAGGCGCCCCGAGGCGUCUUCUUUUGAUGAGGACACAGUCAUGUUGGAUUAGGAUCCCAACCUUUUCCACUCUGAGCGCAUCUCCGCUGAUUACAUCUCCGAUGACCUUACUUCCAAACAUCACGUUCUGAGGUCCCGUUUAAGACGCAUCGGCCUAUCUUUCUGUGGGGACACGAUUCAACCCACUCGCUAGUAGUGUAACCAAGAGCACCUUCCUCAAGUCAGUAGAAACAUCUCCCUAAACC
Molecule: RNA transcript, 816 nt
Organism: Acinonyx jubatus (cheetah)
Lineage: Eukaryota; Metazoa; Chordata; Mammalia; Carnivora; Felidae
Exons: 3
Source: RefSeq, a predicted model, not a curated record